CCUACGGGAGGCAGCAGUGGGGAAUAUUGGACAAUGGGCGAAAGCCUGAUCCAGCAAUUCCGCGUGUGUGAAGAAGGCCUUCGGGUUGUAAAGCACUUUAGGUUGGGAAGAAAAAGCUUCGGUGAAUAUCCGGAGUGUUGACGGUACCAACAGAAUAAGCACCGGCUAACUCUGUGCCAGCAGCCGCGGUAAUACAGAGGGUGCAAGCGUUAAUCGGAUUUACUGGGCGUAAAGCGUGCGCAGGUGGUUUCGUAAGUCGGAUGUGAAAGCCCCGGGCUCAACCUGGGAACUGCGUUCGAUACUGCGAGACUAGAGUUUGGUAGAGGGUGGCGGAAUUCCCGGUGUAGCGGUGAAAUGCGUAGAUAUCGGGAGGAACAUCAAUGGCGAAGGCAGCCACCUGGGCCUGAACUGACACUGAGGCACGAAAGCGUGGGUAGCAAACAGGAUUAGAUGCCCUGGUAGUCCACGCCGUAAACGAUGAGAACUUGACGUUGGUUCGUUUUACGAAUCGGUGUCGUAGCUAACGCGAUAAGUUCUCCGCCUGGGGAGUACGGCCGCAGGUUGAACUCAAAUGAAUUGACGG
This 583-nucleotide ribosomal RNA is filed under the name uncultured bacterium. RNAcentral's name for it is "bacterial SSU rRNA". It matches the Rfam family "Bacterial small subunit ribosomal RNA", at positions 338 to 916 of the family's 1533-position model. The record is from RNAcentral.